Molecule: ribosomal RNA, 422 nt
Filed under: uncultured Flavobacteriaceae bacterium
Lineage: Bacteria; Pseudomonadati; Bacteroidota; Flavobacteriia; Flavobacteriales; Flavobacteriaceae
Description: bacterial SSU rRNA
Rfam family: Bacterial small subunit ribosomal RNA
Source: RNAcentral
UGAGGAAUAUUGGACAAUGGGCGCAGGCCUGAUCCAGCCAUGCCGCGUGCAGGAAGACGGCCCUACGGGUUGUAAACUGCUUUUGUACGGGAAGAAUAAGGGCCACGUGUGGCCCGAUGACGGUACCGUAAGAAUAAGCACCGGCUAACUCCGUGCCAGCAGCCGCGGUAAUACGGAGGGUGCAAGCGUUAUCCGGAAUCAUUGGGUUUAAAGGGUCCGUAGGUGGACCUUUAAGUCAGUGGUGAAAUUCUGCGGCUCAACCGCAGGACUGCCAUUGAUACUGAAGGUCUUGAAUUGUUAUGAAGUAGCUAGAAUAUGUGGUGUAGCGGUGAAAUGCAUAGAGAUCACAUAGAAUACCGAUUGCGAAGGCAGGCUACUAAUAAUUGAUUGACACUGAGGGACGAAAGCGUGGGGAGCGAACA